GAACUGCGAUAAGUAAUGUGAAUUGCAGAAUUCAGUGAAUCAUCGAGUCUUUGAACGCACAUUGCGCCCCCUGGCAUUCCGGGGGGCAUGCCUGUCCGAGCGUCAUUGCUGCCCUCAAGCCCGGCUUGUGUGUUGGGUCGUCGUCCCCUCCGGGGGACGGGCCCGAAAGGCAGCGGCGGCACCGCGUCCGGUCCUCGAGCGUAUGGGGCUUUGUCACCCGCUCGAUAAGGACCGGCCGGGCGCCAGCCGGCGUCUCCAACCUUUUUUUCUCAGGUUGACCUCGGAUCAGGUAGGGAUACCCGCUGAACUUAAGC
This 314-nucleotide unclassified non-coding RNA is filed under the name plant metagenome. Its description in RNAcentral is "partial contains 5.8S ribosomal RNA, internal transcribed spacer 2, and large subunit ribosomal RNA". The stretch from base 1 to 105 matches the Rfam family "5.8S ribosomal RNA", at positions 50 to 154 of the family's 154-position model. The record is from RNAcentral.